CAGCAGCCACGGUAAUACAGAGGGUGCGAGCGUUAAUCGGAUUUACUGGGCGUAAAGCGUGCGUAGGAGGCUUCUUAAGUCGGAUGUGAAAUCCCUGAGCUUAACUUAGGAAUUGCAUUCGAUACUGGGAAGCUAGAGUAUGGGAGAGGAUGGUAGAAUUCCAGGUGUAGCGGUGAAAUGCGUAGAGAUCUGGAGGAAUACCGAUGGCGAAGGCAGCAAUCUGGCCUAAUACUGACGCUGAGGUACGAAAGCAUGGGGAGCAAACAGGAUUAGAUACCCCGGUAGUCCCUGUCUCUUAUAC
This 301-nucleotide ribosomal RNA is filed under the name uncultured bacterium. Its description in RNAcentral is "partial 16S ribosomal RNA". It matches the Rfam family "Bacterial small subunit ribosomal RNA", at positions 509 to 807 of the family's 1533-position model. The record is from RNAcentral.